AUCCUGGUACUGACGUUUAGUCAUUCAGUCAUCUUCAAAUGGGAACUGAAGGCACUUUAUGUCCUUUAUUUGAGGACUGUAUAUUAAAUUGAUUUUUGAAACAGGGGGCUGGACUAGGAGCUUGCUCUGUCCACUCCAUGCAUUGACCUGGUAUUGCAGUGUCUCCAGAAACGGUGCAUUAAAA
RNAcentral lists this small nuclear RNA (184 nucleotides) under Chelydra serpentina (North American snapping turtle). RNAcentral describes it as "U2 spliceosomal RNA (ENSCSRG00000004309.1)". It matches the Rfam family "U2 spliceosomal RNA", at positions 57 to 192 of the family's 192-position model. From Rfam's summary of the family: U2 is a small nuclear RNA (snRNA) component of the spliceosome (involved in pre-mRNA splicing). Complementary binding between U2 snRNA (in an area lying towards the 5' end but 3' to hairpin I) and the branchpoint sequence (BPS) of the intron results the bulging out of an unpaired adenosine, on the BPS, which initiates a nucleophilic attack at the intronic 5' splice site, thus starting the first of two transesterification reactions that mediate splicing. The record is from RNAcentral. Lineage: Eukaryota; Metazoa; Chordata; Testudines; Chelydridae.